RNAcentral lists this long non-coding RNA (1507 nucleotides) under Zea mays. Its description in RNAcentral is "long non-coding RNA (ZMAY_LNC005836)". Lineage: Eukaryota; Viridiplantae; Streptophyta; Magnoliopsida; Poales; Poaceae. The record is from RNAcentral.
GAUCAAGUGCCUGCAUCAAACAAUGCAAGAGUGAGAUGACACAUCUCAGCAAGUAAAAAGAUCAACAGCGACUGGAUAAUGUAAAUAAGCCGUGCUUAAACAACCACGUAGUUCACAAUUGUCGUCUUGAAUAUUAAAUUGCAGGAAGUAAACAAGUAACCAAUUACUCAGUUCCAAAAUGAAUCACAAAGUAAAGAUCCACACUAUCCACACCACCAUAACAGGUGCCACACUUCAUCUAUGAAUGCACAUGGCUACAGAUGCAGUAAUGACUUCUGCCUUCAUACCUCUAAGGAUAUGAAGCUGCAUCAUACCCUUCUCGGGCAAUGUAUGAUGCUCAUUGUAUCGAUACGGUCGGACCAUAUGAUCGCGACAAAACUUCCAUACAAAGGAUGAUGGAUGCAUUAUACAUGACAACAACAUAAGACCCUUCACCCAACAUGUGGUAAACAUACUUCCACUUCUUCAAAAUGAUAAACAACACGUGUAAUAUGCUCGAACAACAUCUUCAACAUAAGUAAAUAAUGGAACAUGAAUGACUUCGAGCAACAUUUCCCACAAUGGAGUACACGAAUGAAAACAUUUGACAUGGAUGUAAUCAAGUAUAGGACUCACAAAUCAAUUAACGGUAUAAACCACCACUAUUUUACUUGCCUUCACCGGGGAGUUUGGACAAAGUCCUAAGUUUGAUCCGGGAGUCCACCACCUAUUUUUGACACACCACUUAGUGCACAAAUUUUACAUAACAACACUCAUAAACGACGCCGCACCUACGCACAAUUUCAAACCCCGUUGCGGGUGACAACUCUCCCCAACACCCACCAAACUGCAGCGGCGCUGCUUAACAAUUUAAUAUCUUUAAAAUUAUGACAGCAGUGGUAACAAACAAAAACUCCAGAGGUAUCUACACAAAAUUCCCCACAAGUUUUGUAUACAAACGAUAAUUAAAUUCCAAUCCCUAAUUAGCCCAAAAUAGUCCACAAGAUGAACCCUGCAAUCUGUUUUGGACAACAACCUACCCGGAUUCAAACAGCGAUAUCUCCUAAAAUAUAACUCCGAAUCGAGUGCAUAAGUACUCGUUGGAAAGGUAUGACAAAGCUCUACAUGAUUCUCCCACUGAUUCCCACUAAUUACCCACAAAAAUUCCCAGAAACUGCUAGAACUACUGAUGUUCGCCCAUCCACAAAGUUUCUGGACAACACCUCUACCAAUUCGCAUACAUAAACAUCUAAUCAAUUGAAUUGCAGCACAAAUAAACAAGAGGUAAUCACAAAAUCACCUUGAAUUCUCCCUCUUUCCUCCCUCCUUCUUCCUUCCACCAAAUUCCAAUUGGAGAUUUGCACCAACGCGACAUAGAUCAAGUGGGAGGGCUGCACCUAGGAGAGGAGGGGAUGGGGGGGCUAGGGUUGUGAGGUGGUGGCUGCAAGUGUUUGAGGAAGGAGAAGAUGGGAGAAGGGGGGGCAGCCAAGGGCUAGAGAGGGGGGCGGCUGCACAAGGGAGAGGGGAG